AACACCUCAAAUCCUUCAAUUUGUUUUGAAUGCUUUGGACUUGAGCAAUCCCAACACCAGUCUUUACGAUCGGCGGAGGGUUGCUUGAAAUGCAGGUGCAGCUGGACAUUCUCCUGAGCUAUAAGCAUAUUUAUUUAGUCCCGUCAAACGGAUUAUUACUUUUGCUGCAGCUAACAUAAAGGGAGUCUGACCAUAUUGGCUGACUGAUGCAGGAUUUCACAAGGGUCGGCAACGAUUCUUGUAAAAC
This 247-nucleotide unclassified non-coding RNA is filed under the name uncultured Mortierella. Its description in RNAcentral is "sequence contains ITS2". Lineage: Eukaryota; Fungi; Mortierellomycota; Mortierellomycetes; Mortierellales; Mortierellaceae. The record is from RNAcentral.